UACGAGGGGGGCAAGCGUUGUUCGGAAUUAUUGGGCGUAAAGCGCGCGCAGGCGGCCUUGCAAGUCAGUGGUGAAAUCCCAGAGCUCAACUCCGGAAUUGCCAUUGAAACUGCUGGGCUUCGAGUACGGGAGAGGUGAGUGGAAUUCCCAGUGUAGAGGUGAAAUUCGUAGAUAUUGGGAAGAACACCGGUGGCGAAGGCGGCUCACUGGCUCGAUACUGACGCUGAGGUGCGAAAGCGUGGGGAGCAAACAGG
This 254-nucleotide ribosomal RNA is filed under the name uncultured bacterium. Its description in RNAcentral is "partial 16S ribosomal RNA". It matches the Rfam family "Bacterial small subunit ribosomal RNA", at positions 524 to 776 of the family's 1533-position model. The record is from RNAcentral.